AGCGGUAGUAGAGUGGUCGGGCCCAUUCGGGCAAUAUAUACUUCUGAGCCUACAGUUAGCGAGUGGAUAAAAGUCACCUAAUUGAAGGGAAUAUAUUUACUGAAUUAAUGUUACCUCUGGAAAAAAUAUUAGACCACAAAAGGCUACAUAAAGUUCAGCUGUGGAACCGAAAGGCGGUUGAGAGUGCAUAAAACGGUUGGGACAUCACAAACCACUUCCUGGUGAUAAAUCACACCACCGACUGGAGAAAGUGUGGGGAAGAAACACAGAAACACAGGACGACCCACCACGUCCUGGGACUUCCUCCACCCAGGAGAGUGGAACAAAAUUCUGGGCCCUGUAAAUAGGCGGUCUCUGAGGGUCCCUCCCCUCUAAAUUCAAGAUUCAACAUUUUUUGAGGGCCCCUCUAUAUAUUUGGGACCUAUAUACUUAGUUCACCUUUUUCACCUGGCCUAACGUCACUUCCUCCACCCACUACAUCCUGGGACGCCCUCCUCCCACCACUUCCUGGGACACCAUCAGGACUCAGCCCCCACCCCUAAAUGACUCUAACUAGGACAGAUAGGGACAAGGCCCUCAGAAAGGGAGGGCCCCUAAAAUCAUUAGGCAUAAAAAAAUAAAAAUGCUAAAACUAACACAUUUGUUCUUCCUAAUUAAGCAGUGUACCUGCUAACAAACAGUACUUACAAGCACCACUUUCACAUUGGCUUAUGUAUACACCAUCAGGGAAGACAAUUUCACAAAUUAUUAUUGAACAAUCACUGGUGGAUACAUAUUAAGAAAAGAUAAUGUCCCUGUUACCCAUUUCUUUAGAUUUUGUUCAGACAUGAGGAAAAUUGAUUGGUGGAGAUAUCAGAAGGUAGAUCAGCAUUCUUUUUUAUUUAAAUUAUUUUGUCUGAAUGGUCUAUUAUUUAAUGUAUUAGGCAGCAAUAUACAGUAUAUAGGAGGUUAAGCCCCUUCAAAGCCUUUCAAUUGUUUUAUUGACUACUGGGAAGAAGUUUUUUAUUGAAACAGCUCUGCAGAUGUAUUUCCAAUACUGUUUCUGGGCAAAUCGUAAGGUACAGACAAUGCCAAACUACUUCCAGAACCCCCAAUGAAUUGUUUUGCCUGAUUGGUGCAGACACAGCACUACUUUCAUUCAGUGUUCCCAACUUUAAAUACCUGAACCCCUAAAAGUUAAUGGUAUAUUACUCU
Long non-coding RNA from Esox lucius (northern pike), 1194 nucleotides. RefSeq lists it as uncharacterized. The record is from RefSeq and is a predicted model, not a curated record. NCBI's taxonomy places the organism in Eukaryota, Metazoa, Chordata, Actinopteri, Esociformes, Esocidae. The transcript is spliced from 3 exons.